AUUGAACGCUGGCGGCAUGCCUUACACAUGCAAGUCGAACGGUAACAGGUUAAGCUGACGAGUGGCGAACGGGUGAGUAAUGUAUCGGAACGUGCCCAGUCGUGGGGGAUAACUGCUCGAAAGAGCAGCUAAUACCGCAUACGACCUGAGGGUGAAAGCGGGGGAUCGCAAGACCUCGCGCGAUUGGAGCGGCCGUUACCAGAUUAGGUAGUUGGUGAGGUAAAGGCUCACCAAGCCGACGAUCUGUAGCUGGUCUGAGAGGACGACCAGCCACACUGGGACUGAGACACGGCCCAGACUCCUACGGGAGGCAGCAGUGGGGAAUUUUGGACAAUGGGCGCAAGCCUGAUCCAGCCAUGCCGCGUGCGGGAAGAAGGCCUUCGGGUUGUAAACCGCUUUUGUCAGGGAAGAAAAGGUUCUGGCUAAUACCUGGGACUCAUGACGGUACCUGAAGAAUAAGCACCGGCUAACUACGUG
RNAcentral lists this ribosomal RNA (477 nucleotides) under uncultured bacterium. RNAcentral describes it as "partial 16S ribosomal RNA". It matches the Rfam family "Bacterial small subunit ribosomal RNA", at positions 30 to 507 of the family's 1533-position model. The record is from RNAcentral.